RNAcentral lists this ribosomal RNA (429 nucleotides) under Bacteroidota bacterium. RNAcentral describes it as "Bacteroidetes bacterium partial 16S ribosomal RNA". It matches the Rfam family "Bacterial small subunit ribosomal RNA", at positions 355 to 776 of the family's 1533-position model. Lineage: Bacteria; Pseudomonadati; Bacteroidota. The record is from RNAcentral.
UAGGGAAUCUUCCGCAAUGGACGCAAGUCUGACGGAGCAACGCCGCGUGAGUGAAGAAGGAUUUCGGUUCGUAAAACUCUGUUGUUAGAGAAGAACAGCGCAUAGAGUAACUGUUAUGCGUGUGACGGUAUCUAACCAGAAAGCCACGGCUAACUACGUGCCAGCAGCCGCGGUAAUACGUAGGUGGCAAGCGUUGUCCGGAUUUAUUGGGCGUAACGCGAGCGCAGGCGGUCAAUUAAGUCUGAUGUGAAAGCCCCCGGCUCAACCGGGGAGGGUCAUUGGAAACUGGUUGACUUGAGUGCAGAAGGGGAGAGUGGAAUUCCAUGUGUAGCGGUGAAAUGCGUAGAUAUAUGGAGGAACACCAGUGGCGAAGGCGACUCUCUGGUCUGUAACUGACGCUGAGGCUCGAAAGCGUGGGUAGCAAACAGG